Non-coding RNA from Sus scrofa (pig), 4314 nucleotides. The record is from RefSeq and is a predicted model, not a curated record. NCBI's taxonomy places the organism in Eukaryota, Metazoa, Chordata, Mammalia, Artiodactyla, Suidae.
AACGCCAGAUCCUUAACCCACAGUGCAAGCCCAGGGCUGGAACCCACAUCUUCAUGGGUACUAUGUCGGGUUCCUAACUUGCUGAGCCAUGGUGGGAACUCCAGAAGUCUAGGGAGGAGAUAGAACUUGCCCAUGAUUCCAGUGUCAGAAAGUUACAAGGUCGUGGUGCUUGGCUUUGCACAAGGUGCCUCUGAUCCUAGCCUGUGCUCUCAUGCCUCCCUCCAGGCUCCCACUGCCUGCUCCUGAUGCAUUUCCCUGAAGCUGUGUCUCCAUUUGUUAAGAAUCUGUUCAUAUCUGAAAGCAUACUAAAUUCUGUUCAAGUAAAAUAAAACUUGGAAUUUAAAACUUCAGAAACAACCAUCACUUGCUCUGCCUGGUUUAACUUGCUCCACUUCCUGCCUCUUCUCCGACUUGCUGCUUAUUCCUGAAGCCCAGGCCCCUCCCUGCCUGUCCUCCGUAACCCUUUCUUAUUAAUAACUUCAAGUACCCUAAUCAGACACUCUUGGACAGCAAUUUGUUUUUAAUCUUCAUGUUCUGAUUAUGCAGUAGGUUUCCUGGUAUUAUUGCAAUUUUCACAAUGUGACUUUAGAAUUAUAGGAGUGGACUAUAUUUGCACAUUUCUUCUGCUUUUUUCUUUCUGACCCUGUGUCUCUCAACCCAUAGGCCCUUUUGGUCCUCAGGUUGAAAACAAUUUUGUUUUACUCUGCGACUAUGUUAUUAUUUUAUUAGAUUACCUUAUUAUUCUUCAGGUUUAACUACUGAAUAACUAGUGCAUAUUAAUAAUUACAAAAAUGUAAUAGAUAUAAAUGUAACUAUAGUUGCUAAAAACAGAUAUAGAGAAAACUAGCUGGAUUUAAUCUACUGGUUUGCCCGGGGUCAGUGGAUUCUUGCUUCACCAUGUGCAUGAAACUAGUUCUUAGGGAAAUUAGUAAGGAGUAGGUGGGGAGGGACAGGGUGGCCAUUGAGUUCAAAAUGGAAUAUGAAUUUGCAGUUUGAAAAAUCAAAUUGGAGAUGUGGGGGGGUUAUUUACCUUUUUUCUUUUGCACUGCAGAUUAACCUUAAAGAUGUUGGUGAAAUUUAGAAGAUACGUGUUGGACGUGACAACAGUGGAAAGGAUCCUAGGUGGAACCUGGAAGAAAUGCGACUUGAGAAGAUGAACACCCAGGAGCUGUUGUGUUUCGCUGUUGAUCCCUGGGUAGCUGAGAAUGAAAACGAUGGAGACCUACGGGAGGACAUGCCCGCCGUGAGAACGAACAGAGCGCCUUGGCCAGGUUGAUGUUUUUUCCAUUGAGGCAGUGGCUCUUGGAGAAUUGGAGAAAAUUUGGAUUAGUCAUGAUGGGACAGGUCCAGUUUUCACAGGAAAUGGCUGGUUUCUUGAGUGCGUUGUUCUUAAAUGUGAAGAGGAAGACGACAACCAGGAGGCACUGUUCCCGUGCAACAGGUGUGCUGUCACCGGUCCCUCACUGCGCGCGGUGAUGCGCCCUUUGUCCAGGACUUCCAGCUGGACACCAGCCUGCCCCUCCAUCUGUCUGGCCACAUUGCACCCUCCUUUAAAACCUGAGUGGAAGGCUUGCACUCCCUAGGAAGCUGCUCCUUAUCAUGUUAGUAAUUCUCUUUUUCUUUGUAACACUUAGUAUUUUUCUCUUCUGGAAUAGGCAUGCUGCAAUGAAAGGAAGCUGAAUUAGGAUUUCAAAAGCAGGUCUUUGAAUCUCACACACUUGCUGUUUCCCACUAGUUCUGCAGACGUGGGUGCUGCUCUCAGCUUCUCUGAGGUUCAGUUUCCUCAUAUGUAAAGUGGGGAUGAUACUUGUUCCUCCUGGUUCAUUGAAUCAUAAAAUCAAAUAAAGGAAUAUAUAGGAACUGUGAACUCUAAGGCAUUAUCCAAAUAAUGGUGCAGAUAUAAGUUAAGAGAAUUAAGUUGCAAGGGUAGCUCUGGAAUUCAUUGACCAUUCAUAGGUGUGUUACUUCAAUUCUCCAAUCCUCAAUUUCAGAAUUUUAUGAUAAGAAUGAUUAAGUAAGACCUACCUACUUUAUAGGGUUGUUAUAAGUAGACUAUCAAUAUAUCCUUAAACAAAGUGCCCUAAAAAUGGAAAUGAUAUAAUUUCCCAUCAUUCUUCAUUAGUCUGCAGAGUAUGUUGAUUCAGUCAUUGUACAAAUAGUAAUUGACCACAAACCAUAGCAGGAAGUGGGACAGUUGAGGAGUUUCAGCGAUUCAGCAAUAUAUGGUCCCUACCUGAAAGGAGUUUAUGGAAUCCCAGGUGAGAGCAGAUGCUCCCAUCCUAAGGGCCAUGACAGAGACGUGUGUGAGAGCCCAGGUGCCAAGGUGGAUGUCUCUGUGAUUGCAUGUUGCUGAAUCCAGAGAACAUGUGCGUUGCAUUGUGUUGAUUCAUUUAUUCCCCAUCAUUUAUUCAAGCAGAACUUUGCACACCUCCUAGGUGUCAGGCAGGAUACCACAUCCUGGAUAUAUAGAGAUAAAAAAAAAAAAAAACCUGUCUUCAAGGAGUUCCCAUUUUAUGAUGAGAGACGGGAGGAAGGAUGUGGUCCUAACAAAGCUGGACAGCUGGGCAGCUGGAUGUGCUCUGAGUUUAGCAGGCAUCUGGGCAUCUUUGACUCCUGAAGUGUUGUACACUUUUUCAGACACGCAGAGAAGCCCCUCAGUGGACUGAGUGGGUUUUACCUUACAAUAGUUCUGAUUCUAGGAAAUACCCAUUCUUCUGAAACUUAUAAGGAGUUGCAUUCUUACUUCUCUGAAGGAGAUGUGUAACCCUUCGCAAUCUUCUGUUUGUUUUCUUACUAUACAUCCAUUUGACAUGCAGGUGCAUCACAGUCGUGAUUGCCAUUUUGUAACAUUCAGGCUCUAGGAAGAGACCUUAUAUUUUUAGUUUAUUCAAGAAAUCUUUUCAUUCCUUAAUGGGGUGUGAAAAGAGCAAAGAUUAAAGUUUUUCAGGGCUGGCUUUGAAUUACAACUCUCACUGAGUAGCGCUAGGAGGCUCCGUUUCUUCUUACAUAAAAUAGCAAUAAUGACACCUAAUUUGGCAAAGUUGUUUGAGGAUUUCACACAAUACACAUAAAUUACCUGCAGAUAUCUUGCAAUGAUUAGAAGCUCCAUGAUGAUAAAUGGUACUGCAGUAGAAACACUUUUAGAUUAAAGAAAUCUUUAGACACAAUGCCAUAUGUGGAAAAGAGGUGAAAAAUUUUAUUUCUAGAUUAUAUGUCAAGUAUUUAGAACUCUCCAAAUAAUUACUUUUAAAACUCUAGGUCUGUACAGUCCAAUACAGUAAGUAGAUUUUGUAAAUGAUCCUCUGAGGACAGGCCCCUGCAAAAAUCACUGCAUUCACUACAAACUUGAUUUGUUGGAAAAUUCUACUGAGACUUUGGAGAGUUUAGAAGCAGGUUUUCCUAGUUUCCCCAGAAUAACGUAGCCAUUUAAACUCAUGCCUCCUUCUACUAAUGAGAAAAGAAAAAGUAUCUGAAAAAGAAAUUAUUUAGGACUUUACUGCAGGGUCAGAUGAAAAUAGAGGGGGUUCUCUUCUGCCGUGGGGCCCUCUUAGGUUUGCAGCCCUGCCCUCUGUGUGCACAGGGUCUGGCACUUACCGCUCCCUGACCCUGUAGAGGCUCCCGGUGAAGCGAGAACUCUACGAAGCAACUCAUCCCAGCCUCACCCGCGGCCUCAGAGGGGCUCCAUGACACUUCUGUUCCACAGGUGGCUGGGCGAACACCAAGAUGACCUGCCAGACGGAGCGGGAGCUGCUCGCCGAAAGCCGCUUCGGUACAGGAGGAGGGAUGGACCCCCUGCCUCCUGAGAGGGCCACUGCGCCUCCCACAGGCUGCUUACCUGCCUGUCACCGUGUGGCUGUCCUUUCCUGGACGGCAGCAGACACCUGCAGGGCCAGCCUGUGUGGAACACAUCCGAGGCUCUUGGGAGAAGCUUCUGCCCGAGUUGGGUGCAUCGCUUCCUCUUCUUCUCACUUCCUCCCCGAAACCUGGCACCUGCUAGGUCUACGAAUAGGUGGCCUUAGUGGGAAGUGACUGAAGAGGCACAGAACGUUUGAUUACGGUAAGAUGUUUUCAUACAACCUAUGCUAAUUUUCAAGCAGAAGUGCUAUUCUUAGAUAAUGGUCUGUCUCUCUUAGUAUUGGUGGUAAAAUAAAGAAGCAAAUGUGAAAAGAAUACAGUUGAUUGGGUUACAUUUCAUUCCUGCUGCGCUUCACGCUGAUCUUCACCCUCCUAGUUUCUUGGAGCUGGUCCCUGGGUCUGCAGCCGGCAGCAGCCAAGAGGCCUGCCAGGCGCAUGUCUUCCAUCCAUCCGUCACUC